This 497-nucleotide ribosomal RNA is filed under the name uncultured bacterium. RNAcentral describes it as "partial 16S ribosomal RNA". It matches the Rfam family "Bacterial small subunit ribosomal RNA", at positions 28 to 507 of the family's 1533-position model. The record is from RNAcentral.
GAUGAACGCUGGCGGCGUGCCUAAUACAUGCAAGUCGAGCGAACGGACGAGAAGCUUGCUUCUCUGAUGUUAGCGGCGGACGGGUGAGUAACACGUGGAUAACCUACCUAUAAGACUGGGAUAACUUCGGGAAACCGGAGCUAAUAACGGAGGAUAUUUUGAACCGCAUGGUUCAAAAGUGAAAGACGGUCUGGGUGUCACUUAGAGAUGGAUCCGCGCUGCAUUAGCUAGUUGGUAAGGUAACGGCUUACCAAGGCAACGAUGCAUAGCCGACCUGAGAGGGUGAUCGGCCACACUGGAACUGAGACACGGUCCAGACUCCUACGGGAGGCAGCAGUAGGGAAUCUUCCGCAAUGGGCGCAAGCCUGACGGAGCAACGCCGCGUGAGUGAUGAAGGUCUUCGGAUCGUAAAACUCUGUUAUUAGGGAAGAACAUCUGUGUAAGUAACUGUGCCCAUCUUGACGGUACCUAAUCAGAAAGCCCCGGCUAACUACGUG